RNAcentral lists this antisense RNA (75 nucleotides) under Pseudonocardia alni. Its description in RNAcentral is "ASpks TB sRNA". It matches the Rfam family "ASpks TB sRNA". The record is from RNAcentral. Lineage: Bacteria; Bacillati; Actinomycetota; Actinomycetes; Pseudonocardiales; Pseudonocardiaceae.
CUUGACCGAGCCGAGCAGCAGCGGGCGCUCGACGUCCCGGUCCCGCCCGUAGGUGGCCAGCAGCGCCUGCGCCUC